Molecule: ribosomal RNA, 253 nt
Filed under: uncultured bacterium
Lineage: Bacteria
Description: partial 16S ribosomal RNA
Rfam family: Bacterial small subunit ribosomal RNA
Source: RNAcentral
UACAGAGGCCACGAACGUUGUUCGGAAUCACUGGGCAUAAAGCGCACGUAGGCGGCUAGGUCCGUCCAAUGUGAAAGCCCCCGGCUCAACCGGGGAAUUGCAUCGGAUACAGCCUGGCUUGAGGACGGUUGGGGUGAGUGGAACUCCUGGUGGAGCGGUGAAAUGCGUAGAUAUCAGGAGGAACACCGGUGGCGAAAGCGGCUCACUGGACCGUUACUGACGCUGAGGUGCGAAAGCUAGGGGAGCAAACGGG